AGAUUGAACGCUGGCGGCAUGCCUAACACAUGCAAGUCGAACGGGAGUAGCAAUACUCUAGUGGCGGACGGGUGAGGAAUACGUAGGAAUUUGCCCUUAAGUGGGGGAUAACCCGGGGAAACCCGGAUUAAUACCGCAUGACCUCGAAAGAGCAAAGUGGGGGAUCGCAAGACCUCACGCUUUUGGAGAAGCCUACGUCGGAUUAGCUAGUUGGUGAGGUAAUGGCUCACCAAGGCGACGAUCCGUAACUGGUCUGAGAGGAUGAUCAGUCACACCGGAACUGAGACACGGUCCGGACUCCUACGGGAGGCAGCAGGUGGGGAAUAUUGGACAAUGGGCGCAAGCCUGAUCCAGCAAUGCCGCGUGUGUGAAGAAGGCCUUGGGUUGUAAAGCACGUUUUAAGUUGGGAAAGAAAAACUACGCUACUACACAGUGAGUCUUGACGUACGACAGAAUAAGCACCGGACUAACUC
RNAcentral lists this ribosomal RNA (473 nucleotides) under uncultured soil bacterium. RNAcentral describes it as "bacterial SSU rRNA". It matches the Rfam family "Bacterial small subunit ribosomal RNA", at positions 26 to 503 of the family's 1533-position model. The record is from RNAcentral.